Molecule: long non-coding RNA, 1602 nt
Organism: Triticum aestivum (bread wheat)
Lineage: Eukaryota; Viridiplantae; Streptophyta; Magnoliopsida; Poales; Poaceae
Exons: 6
Source: RefSeq, a predicted model, not a curated record
UCUCCCGUGAAAAUAUCUUCUCUUUCCCUCAUCCCACUACUCUUUUCCGUGCCGCCGCCACCCCCUUCCUCUCGGCCGCAGCCUCCUCUCCUCCACCUCCACCACCUCCUCCUCCCCUGCCUCUCUUCCGCCCGUGUCUCCUCACCCCCUCCCUCUGCCUCCAUGCUCAAAAGGAGGAGCCGUGGUCGCUGCCGUUGUGCCUCUACAUCGUCCUCACACGCCGUCAUCCUCGCCAUUCUGCCGGUGGAGAGCUCCUCCAUGAUGGCAUCCACCGGAUCUCGCCAGCCCAGAUCCACAUGCCUCCUCCUUCCUCGGCAGCUCAUGGAGCCCCAUGAUGCGCCAACGAUGCGUGACUACACUCGUCCGUGCUUCCCGCCGCUCCCAGUCACCGGGCGUCGUCCCGCCGACGCGGCCCACCGCACGCUGCCACCAGCGUCUUCUUCAUGGCGGUAGAGGCGCAGCUUGGGCUCGGGGACCCUGCCGGCGCCAGCUUCGUCUCCAUGAGAGGGCCGAAUCAGGACGGAUCCAAGUUGCCGACGUCUUUGCUGCCAUGGACGAGCCCUCACCCAGCGACCAAGGAAGGCAGGAGAAAUCCCUCCUCCUUGCAUUGUUGCAUCACUGCAUCCCCACGGUAGUCCAGGAGGAGCUCGACUGCCUGCUUUGAGAAGAAGAGAUGGCAGGAGGAUGAGGCAUGGGCUUGACAAGAAGUGGGUUGGAGCAAGAAGUAGAGCAGACAAUGCCCCUCUCUUAAUUGGCAUCUGCACAGCCAAAUCAAGGACCUAAGCUCCUGGAACGGCCCUCCUAUGCCCUGCUCCUCUCGCAUUGGCGCAAAUUCGGCUCCUCACCGCCUCUGUCUUCAUGUGUGCAGCGACGACCCCGGGAGGAGCUCGAGCCGCAGAGGUGGUCCAUGGUGUCGUCGCCGUCAUCCUCGGCAGGAGAAGCGUGGGCUGCAGAGAUGGCGGGAUCCGUCCGAUCCUUGUGCUGCCGUCCGUCCACCCUCGAGGAUAAUGUGUUUGUUCAGCUGAUCUGUAUAGUUUCAAUACCGGGUUGUUAAGGAGAAUGCAGAUGAUGCAUAUUCCACGAGUUGCAGACCCCCCAACAGCAAAUUCAGUCCUACGUUUUUUAUGGUUACACAGAGAUGGUUGGCUCCGUCCUGCUCCGGCGAUGGCUUCCAUCCACCCGAUGAACAAGACUACAUGGGAGAUGUAUGACGACCUAGCAAACUCCCGUCUGGUCAGCAGCCAAUGAGGGUUCCCCAUCUGAUGCUUGGUGCGGAGAAGGGGCCGUUCUCCUCUCAUGCGAGCAGCCCAAGUGCUGCCUGAUCCUUCCGUCCAAGAUGGAGGUGGUGAACAUCGAUGUGGCGACGCCUGAUGCGUACAUGAGGUCGCUAUGUGUUGUGUCUGAUGUAAUUUGGAACUCCGGAAUUUUCAUGGCUGAAUGUUUGUCUUUGUGCUUGAAUUCAUUUGUGUUUGAUGUACUAUGAAUUAAUGAUUAGCUUUCCGAUUGACUUGGUUGUGUCUUUUGUCCGAAUCAAUUGAGAAAAAACUGAAUAUAUAGCUGAAUGUGGUGGUUUCACACAUUCUGAACGAAGCUCGCAAUGAG